GGGCGUAAGGGCUCGUAGGUGGUUGAUCGCGUCGGAAGUGUAAUCUUGGGGCUUACCCUGGAGCGUGCUUUCGAUACGGGUUGACUUGAGGAAGGUAGGGGAGAAUGGAAUGNCUGGNGGAGCGGUGGAAUGCGCAGAUAUCAGGAGGAACACCAGUGGCGAAGGCGGUUCUCUGGGCCUUUCCUGACGCUGAGGAGCGAAAGCGUGGGGAGCGAACAGGCUUAGAUACCCUGGUAGUCCACGCUGUAAACGGUGGGUACUAGGUGUGGGGUCCAUUCCACGGGUUCCGCGCCGUAGCUAACGCUUUAAGUACCCCCGCCUGGGGAGUACGGCCGCAAGGCUAAAACUCAAGGAAUNGACGGGGCCCGCACAAGCGGCGGAGCAUGCGGAUUAAUUCGAUGCACGCGUAGAACUUACUGGGUUUGACAUGGAUCGGGANUGCUCAGAGAUGGGUGUGCUC
Molecule: ribosomal RNA, 460 nt
Filed under: uncultured bacterium
Lineage: Bacteria
Description: bacterial SSU rRNA
Rfam family: Bacterial small subunit ribosomal RNA
Source: RNAcentral